RNAcentral lists this ribosomal RNA (458 nucleotides) under uncultured bacterium. Its description in RNAcentral is "partial 16S ribosomal RNA". It matches the Rfam family "Bacterial small subunit ribosomal RNA", at positions 338 to 795 of the family's 1533-position model. The record is from RNAcentral.
CCUACGGUGUGCAGCAGUGAGGAAUAUUGGUCAAUGGGCUUACGCCUGAACCAGCCAAGUCGCGUGAGGGAAGACUGCCCUAUGGGUUGUAAACCUCUUUUGUCAGGGAGCAAAAGCCGGACGUGUCCGGCUGUGAGAGUACCCGAAGAAAAAGCAUCGGCUAACUCCAUGCCAGCAGCCGCGGUAAUACGGAGGAUGCGAACGUUAUCCGGAUUUAUUGGGUUUAAAGGGGGCGCAGGCGGAUUUUUAAGUCAGCGGUAAAAUCGUGGGGCUCAACCCCAUCCAGCCGUUGAAACUGGGGAUCUAGAGUGUGCGAGAGGUAUGCGGAAUGCGUGGUGUAGCGGUGAAAUGCAUAGAUAUCACGCAGAACCCCGAUUGCGAAGGCAGCAUACCGGUGCACAACUGACGCUCAGGCACGAAAGCGUGGGUAUCGAACAGGAUUAGAUACCCUAGUAGUC